Molecule: ribosomal RNA, 446 nt
Filed under: uncultured bacterium
Lineage: Bacteria
Description: bacterial SSU rRNA
Rfam family: Bacterial small subunit ribosomal RNA
Source: RNAcentral
GCCCAGACUCCUACGGGAGGCAGCAGUGGGGAAUAUUGCACAAUGGGGGAAACCCUGAUGCAGCGACGCCGCGUGAGUGAAGAAGUAUUUCGGUAUGUAAAGCUCUAUCAGCAGGGAAGAAAAUGACGGUACCUGAUUAAGAAGCCCCGGCUAACUACGUGCCAGCAGCCGCGGUAAUACGUAGGGGGCAAGCGUUAUCCGGAUUUACUGGGUGUAAAGGGAGCGUAGACGGAUGUGCAAGUCUGAUGUGAAAGGCGGGGGCUCAACCCCUGGACUGCAUUGGAAACUGUAAAUCUUGAGUGCCGGAGAGGUAAGCGGAAUUCCUAGUGUAGCGGUGAAAUGCGUAGAUAUUAGGAGGAACACCAGUGGCGAAGGCGGCCUACUGGACGGUAACUGACGUUGAGGCUCGAAAGCGUGGGGAGCAAACAGGAUUAGAUACCCCAGUA